AAGGCAUUGGUUGAUCACUCUCCCUCAAGGGCUUCUCGCCAAGGUGAAGUAUUAUAUCCUAGGUCGUCCCCUUCUUAAUUCUAAGGGAGACUUGGGGUACUUACACAAGGUUGUGGAGCCUGCGAGGGGGAAUGACCAAGCUUCUUGCCUU
This 151-nucleotide microRNA precursor is filed under the name Fragaria vesca subsp. vesca. Its description in RNAcentral is "Fragaria vesca miR477a stem-loop (fve-MIR477a)". Its record names the gene fve-MIR477a. Lineage: Eukaryota; Viridiplantae; Streptophyta; Magnoliopsida; Rosales; Rosaceae. The record is from miRBase by way of RNAcentral.